ACAUACGACCAUAGACUCAAGAGAACUGGGCAUCCCGUCCGCUCUGCCAUACAUAAGAUCGGUGGAUUAGUACUUGGGUGGGUGACCACCAGCGAAUACCCACUGUUGUAUGUU
This 114-nucleotide ribosomal RNA is filed under the name Pseudogymnoascus verrucosus. The record is from RNAcentral. Lineage: Eukaryota; Fungi; Ascomycota; Leotiomycetes; Thelebolales; Thelebolaceae.